UGGGGAAUAUUGGACAAUGGGCGGAAGCCUGAUCCAGCAACGCCGCGUGAGGGAUGACGGCCUUCGGGUUGUAAACCUCUUUCAGUACCGACGAAGCGAAAGUGACGGUAGGUACAGAAGAAGGACCGGCCAACUACGUGCCAGCAGCCGCGGUAAUACGUAGGGUCCGAGCGUUGUCCGGAAUUAUUGGGCGUAAAGGGCUCGUAGGCGGUUUGUCGCGUCGGGAGUGAAAACAGCGGGCUUAACUCGUUGCUUGCUUUCGAUACGGGCAGACUAGAGGUAUGCAGGGGAGAAUGGAAUUCCUGGUGUAGCGGUGAAAUGCGCAGAUAUCAGGAGGAACACCGGUGGCGAAGGCGGUUCUCUGGGCAUUACCUGACGCUGAGGGA
This 386-nucleotide ribosomal RNA is filed under the name uncultured bacterium. Its description in RNAcentral is "partial 16S ribosomal RNA". It matches the Rfam family "Bacterial small subunit ribosomal RNA", at positions 355 to 753 of the family's 1533-position model. The record is from RNAcentral.